This 162-nucleotide ribosomal RNA is filed under the name uncultured bacterium. RNAcentral's name for it is "partial 16S ribosomal RNA". It matches the Rfam family "Bacterial small subunit ribosomal RNA", at positions 355 to 509 of the family's 1533-position model. The record is from RNAcentral.
UGAGGAAUUUUGCGCAAUGGGAGCAAUCCUGACGCAGCAACGCCGCGUGGGUGAUGAAGGCCUUCGGUCGUAAAGCCCUGUCAGGUGGGAAGAAUGUCCCGGGACUGAACAGGUUUCGGGAGUGACGGUACCACCAGAGGAAGCACCGGCUAACUCCGUGCC